GCGUCGGUGGUUCAGUGGUAGAAUACUCGCCUGCCACGCGGGUGACCCGAGUUCAAUUCCCGGCCGACGCA
RNAcentral lists this transfer RNA (71 nucleotides) under Rhipicephalus microplus (southern cattle tick). RNAcentral describes it as "tRNA-Gly". It matches the Rfam family "tRNA". From Rfam's summary of the family: Transfer RNA (tRNA) molecules are approximately 80 nucleotides in length. Their secondary structure includes four short double-helical elements and three loops (D, anti-codon, and T loops). Further hydrogen bonds mediate the characteristic L-shaped molecular structure. tRNAs have two regions of fundamental functional importance: the anti-codon, which is responsible for specific mRNA codon recognition, and the 3' end, to which the tRNAs corresponding amino acid is attached (by aminoacyl-tRNA synthetases). tRNAs cope with the degeneracy of the genetic code in two manners: having more than one tRNA (with a specific anti-codon) for a particular amino acid; and 'wobble' base-pairing, i.e. permitting non-standard base-pairing at the 3rd anti-codon position. The record is from Rfam by way of RNAcentral. Lineage: Eukaryota; Metazoa; Arthropoda; Arachnida; Ixodida; Ixodidae.